Molecule: unclassified non-coding RNA, 366 nt
Filed under: uncultured fungus
Lineage: Eukaryota; Fungi
Description: sequence contains ITS2
Rfam family: 5.8S ribosomal RNA (bases 1-154)
Source: RNAcentral
AACUUUCGGCAAUGGAUCUCUUGGUUCUGGCAUCGAUGAAGAACGCAGCGAAAUGCGAUAAGUAGUGUGAAUUGCAGAAUUCCGUGAGUCAUCGAAUCUUUGAACGCACAUUGCGCCCGCCAGUAUUCUGGCGGGCAUGCCUGUUCGAGCGUCAUUUCAACCCUCAGGCCCUGCCUGGCGUUGGAGGACUGCGCACCGCAGCCUCCCAAAGCAAGCGGCGGCGGCGCCCCAAGACCGAACGCAGUAGUUUUCUCUCGUUCUGGGCCUGGGACGUCGUCCUGCCGGAAAACCCCCAACUUUUACAUGGUUGACCUCGAAUCAGGUAGGAAUACCCGCUGAACUUAAGCAUAUCAAUAAGCGGAGGCU